Molecule: ribosomal RNA, 586 nt
Filed under: uncultured bacterium
Lineage: Bacteria
Description: partial 16S ribosomal RNA
Rfam family: Bacterial small subunit ribosomal RNA
Source: RNAcentral
UGGGGAAUUUUGGACAAUGGGCGAAAGCCUGAUCCAGCAAUGCCGCGUGUGUGAAGAAGGCCUUCGGGUUGUAAAGCGCUUUUGUCCGGAAAGAAAUCCUUGGCUCUAAUACAGUCGGGGGAUGACGGUACCGGAAGAAUAAGCACCGGCUAACUACGUGCCAGCAGCCGCGGUAAUACGUAGGGUGCAAGCGUUAAUCGGAAUUACUGGGCGUAAAGCGUGCGCAGGCGGUUUGCUAAGACCGAUGUGAAAUCCCCGGGCUCAACCUGGGAACUGCAUUGGUGACUGGCAGGCUAGAGUAUGGCAGAGGGGGGUAGAAUUCCACGUGUAGCAGUGAAAUGCGUAGAGAUGUGGAGGAAUACCGAUGGCGAAGGCAGCCCCCUGGGCCAAUACUGACGCUCAUGCACGAAAGCGUGGGGAGCAAAACAGGAUUAGAUACCCUGGUAGUCCACGCCCUAAACGAUGUCAACUAGUUGUUGGGGAUUCAUUUCCUUAGUAACUAGCUAACGCGUGAAGUUGACCGCCUGGGGGAGUACGGUCGCAAGAUUAAAACUUAAAGGAAUUGACGGGGUCAUAGCUGUUUCCU